CAGUAGUUCAUCUUCUUCUUGACAAUCGAUAGUGUAAUAAAAUAAUUUUUUUGUUUUGUUUUACUGCUUAUAUACAGAGAAACAGUUUGUUGGUAGGAGAGCCUGGAAAAGCUAAUAAAAUGUUUUCAAAAUUAACGUCAUCCAUUCAAUUCUAACAACUAAAUGUUCAAGAUGUACCAUUGAAAUUAGCAGUAUAUAUUCAGUUUGACAUUAAUUUCGUAAUUGAAUAAUGAACAACGAAUGGGGAAAUCAAUCAAGUGAUAAUAACAGAGAACAGAAAACCUAUCACACGUUUGAAGAAAUGAGAGAAUGUUUUGUGCAACGAUUAAAAAAAGAAAAUCGUUGUUUUUUCAUUAGCGACAACAAAUCGUCAAAUACAAUUAGAAUUGACGUAUGUGCUGUGAAUCCAUGCAAUUCAUGUGGAAGUUGCUUGCGUGCAGGAAUAAUAUCGAGAGCUUGUGAAGAUAUUCUCACGAGGAUGAAUAUUAAUAAUCUGUAGCGAGAGAGACAGGUGGAUACAUUUUUUAACGAACCAUGUCUAAUUUGAAAGGAAAAAUGAUUCAUGUACCAGACAUUUCUAAAGAUUUCAUUCUUAAUAAGGCGGUUCAAGAUGCUACCUAUAUUUUACUUAAACCAUACAUGCCUAUGAUAUACCGUGAGAAUAAAUAUCAAAGUAUAAACGAUUUUGCUCAAGGAUGUAUAUUGAAUUCACAGGACUUCUCAUUGAAAAUGGCAGCAAUUGCAUGGAAUUUCUUAAAUAUUUUUUCAAAAGAAGAUCAAAAAUUUAACUAUGGAACUGUGAAGAAAAAUAGCGAAGAUAGAGAAAUCUAAAGUUUCAUUAGAUUAUUAUUAAUAGAGGUAUAUUAUAUCUUUUAUGGUGCAGCUGCUACUACUUAUGUGAAUCGGCAGUUUAUACGAUGGAAGAAAUUCAUAUUUAAGACCAAUGUAAUUAAUAUAAGUAUUUUUAAUAAAACUAUACAAGCAAAUCUUA
Long non-coding RNA from Megalopta genalis, 991 nucleotides. RefSeq lists it as uncharacterized. The record is from RefSeq and is a predicted model, not a curated record. Lineage: Eukaryota; Metazoa; Arthropoda; Insecta; Hymenoptera; Halictidae.